Mus musculus (house mouse) is the source of this 358-nucleotide long non-coding RNA. RefSeq annotates it as predicted gene, 34179. The record is from RefSeq and is a predicted model, not a curated record. The transcript has 2 exons. Lineage: Eukaryota; Metazoa; Chordata; Mammalia; Rodentia; Muridae.
UAGUGGAAUGCGCAGGCAGUCAUGAUUUCCUGAUGAGAGCCUGAAGGACAUGUACUUCCCUCCUAAUGAAAUACUCAAAUACAAAACUGACAACCACUAGGCAGAAGUGGUCAACUCUACAACCUGAUGGCAAAAGAAAACUAAGGAACUCAUUGUCAUCGCCCGCCUGAGCUGUGGUCCCGAGUGUCCCUUUCAUAAAGUCAUUUGGACAUGGAUAUUUAACCAUUUGCUACAUCAUGCUGAGCUGGGGCCAAAUAAUCUAUGAAUAACUCCUACUAUGCCUGUCGGAAAACAGUGAAAUGGUACAGAAAUCUUGUUAUCCUUCCCCCAUCGCUUUCUCUUCCUUAAAAAAAAAAAA